RNAcentral lists this ribosomal RNA (323 nucleotides) under uncultured Bacteroidota bacterium. Its description in RNAcentral is "bacterial SSU rRNA". It matches the Rfam family "Bacterial small subunit ribosomal RNA", at positions 28 to 351 of the family's 1533-position model. The record is from RNAcentral. Lineage: Bacteria; Pseudomonadati; Bacteroidota.
GAUGAACGCUAGCUGGAGGCUUAAUACAUGCAAGUCGAGCGGGAUUAGGGCAGCAAUGUCCUAUGAGAGCGGCGAACGGGUGAGUAACGCGUACACGACCUACCUUUGACUGGGGGAUAGCCCUGGGAAACUGGGAUUAAUACCGCAUAUAAUUCUGAUAAGUAAAGAUAUUGGAAUGAAAGUUCAGGCGGUCAGAGAUGGGUGUGCGUCUGAUUAGCUAGUUGGUAAGGUAACGGCUUACCAAGGCGAUGAUCAGUAGGGGGCGUGAGAGCGUGGUCCCCCACACGGGUACUGAGACACGGACCCGACUCCUACGGGUGCAG